UAUAAGCACAAAGCAGAGCCGCCAACAGCCAGUUUUGUUUUUAACAGGCUGCGUUCAUGAUUAAUGGACGUGCACAGUGGAAAGUGGCUGCUUUUGCCGUGACUGCAUCAAAAUUAACAGCUAUCAGUUAAAAACAACUCGUCAUAGCAUGACAUCACACUUAUGGAAACUUUGUAAUUAAUCUGUGGCUCCAUUUCAUUAACACGUAGCAGCUACAUUCUAUUCAAGCGCACUGGGACGUUUUCCUCAAAGAAACGCUGUCAGAAACACUUGGAAAUGUUAUGAUUUCGGUGCAACAUGUCCUUUAUAACA
Thalassophryne amazonica is the source of this 312-nucleotide long non-coding RNA. RefSeq lists it as uncharacterized. The record is from RefSeq and is a predicted model, not a curated record. Lineage: Eukaryota; Metazoa; Chordata; Actinopteri; Batrachoidiformes; Batrachoididae. The transcript is spliced from 3 exons.